Molecule: ribosomal RNA, 433 nt
Filed under: uncultured bacterium
Lineage: Bacteria
Description: partial 16S ribosomal RNA
Rfam family: Bacterial small subunit ribosomal RNA
Source: RNAcentral
AACGAACGUUGGCGGCAGGCUUAACACAUGCAAGUCGAACGGAUCCUUCGGGAUUAGUGGCAGACGGGUGAGUAACGCGUGGGAACGUACCCUUUGCUACGGAAUAACUCAGGGAAACUUGAGCUAAUACCGUAUGUGCCCUACGGGGGAAAGAUUUAUCGGCAAAGGAUCGGCCCGCGUUGGAUUAGCUAGUUGGUGGGGUAAUGGCCUACCAAGGCGACGAUCCAUAGCUGGUCUGAGAGGAUGAUCAGCCACACUGGGACUGAGACACGGCCCAGACUCCUACGGGAGGCAGCAGUGGGGAAUAUUGGACAAUGGGCGCAAGCCUGAUCCAGCCAUGCCGCGUGAGUGAUGAAGGUCUUAGGAUUGUAAAGCUCUUUCACCGGUGAAGAUAAUGACGGUAGCCGGAGAAGAAGCCCCGGCUAACUUCGUG